Molecule: non-coding RNA, 24 nt
Filed under: Rattus norvegicus (Norway rat)
Lineage: Eukaryota; Metazoa; Chordata; Mammalia; Rodentia; Muridae
Source: RNAcentral
UGGGAAUGGAGGCUCCAGCACUUC